AUGCUGAGGGAGGCAAGAGAGGUGUUCGACCGGAUGCUGGAGAGGAACGUGGUCAUCUGGACGGUCAUGGUGAAGGCCUACACCGACCACGGUCAUCUUCAGGAGGCCGUGGAGCUGUUCGACAGGAUGCCCCAGAGGAACCCGUAUUCUUGGAGCGCCAUGAUCUCCGGUUUCCUCCGUGCUGGGAAAGUGGACGAGGCGGUUCGGCUGUUCGAGAGGAUGCCGGAUAGGAACGUGGUUUCUUGGACCACAAUGGUCACUGGCUUGGCGCAGAACGGCCGCGUUUCGAUGGUGAGAGAGUUCUUCGACAGAAUGCCCAGAAACAAGGACAUUGCAGCGUGGAAUGCGAUGAUCACUGCUUAUGCCAACGCUGGCCAGAUGAACAAGGCUCAGAGAUUGUUCGAUUCUAUGCCCGCAAAGGACCUGGUGAGCUGGAGUGCCAUAAUCCAUGGCUAUGCCAAAAACAAGCACAAGGGCGAAGUCAUGCGUUUAUUUCUUCUCAUGCUCCGGUCAGCAGUAUCCCCUGACGGAACUACAUUGAUCAGUGUCUUGGUUGCAUCCGAGAGCACAGUUGAAGUUGGGCAAAUCCAUGGCUUCGCUACCACACGAGGUCUCCUGUCAGACACCUCCUUAGGAAACGCUCUGCUCACCAUGUAUUCAAGGAGCGGUGACCUGCACUCUGCCUGGCAAGUUUUCAACAUGUUACAAGAGAAGGAUCCCGUCACAUGGACAUCGAUGAUGCGGGCCUUCGCCAACCAUGGCCGUGCCUCCUACGCGCUGCAGGCCUGUGCUCAGAUGUUGCAACAUGGAUACAAGCCCAGCUCAACCACCUUCAUCGCCGCGUUAUCAGCCUGCAGCCAUGCCAGUGUCGUCGACAAAGGCCGUGCCUCCAGGGCGCAUUGCCGCGUAAGCGUCCAAGGUGGGACGCUUUAUGAACAAUGGUGGGGGAAGCUCUUCCAAAGUCUGACGGUCCCUCUGGUUCGGGUUUGGGAGGCUACUACACGGUUCUGG
RNAcentral lists this ribosomal RNA (1011 nucleotides) under Triticum aestivum (bread wheat). RNAcentral's name for it is "partial small subunit ribosomal RNA". Lineage: Eukaryota; Viridiplantae; Streptophyta; Magnoliopsida; Poales; Poaceae. The record is from RNAcentral.